This 571-nucleotide ribosomal RNA is filed under the name uncultured Terrabacter sp. RNAcentral's name for it is "bacterial SSU rRNA". It matches the Rfam family "Bacterial small subunit ribosomal RNA", at positions 335 to 916 of the family's 1533-position model. Lineage: Bacteria; Bacillati; Actinomycetota; Actinomycetes; Micrococcales; Intrasporangiaceae. The record is from RNAcentral.
ACUCCUACGGGAGGCAGCAGUGGGGAAUAUUGCACAAUGGGCGGAAGCCUGAUGCAGCGACGCCGCGUGAGGGAUGACGGCCUUCGGGUUGUAAACCUCUUUCAGCAGGGAAGAAGCGGAAGUGACGGUACCUGCMGAAGAAGCACCGGCUAACUACGUGCCAGCAGCCGCGGUAAUACGUAGGGUGCGAGCGUUGUCCGGAAUUAUUGGGCGUAAAGAGCUUGUAGGCGGUUUGUCGCGUCUGCUGUGAAAAUCCGGGGCUCAACCCCGGACUUGCAGUGGGUACGGGCAGACUAGAGUGUGGUAGGGGAGACUGGAAUUCCUGGUGUAGCGGUGGAAUGCGCAGAUAUCARGAGGAACACCGAUGGCGAAGGCAGGUCUCUGGGCSRCKRSUGACGCUGAGAAGCGAAAGCAUGGGGAGCGAACAGGAUUAGAUACCCUGGUAGUCCAUGCCGUAAACGUUGGGAACUAGGUGUGGGUCUCAUUCCACGAGAUCCGUGCCGCAGCUAACGCAUUAAGUUCCCCGCCUGGGGAGUACGGCCGCAAGGCUAAAACUUAAAGGAAUUGACGG